AACGAACGCUGGCGGCGUGCCUGAGACAUGCAAGUCGUGGGAGAAAGUCGGAGCAAUCCGGCUAGUAAACCGGCGCACGGGUGAGUAACACGUGGACAACCUGCCUUGGAGUUCGGGAUAACCCGUCGAAAGACGGACUAAUACCGGAUAUGACCACGGGGAGUUCGCUCUCUGAGGUAAAAGAUGGCCUCUGCUCCUGCAAGCUAUCUCUUCGAGAGGGGUCCGCGUCCUACAGCUAGUUGGUGAGGUAACGGCUCACCAAGGCUAAGACGGGUAGCUGGUCUGAGAGGAUGGUCAGCCACACUGGGACUGAGACACGGCCCAGAGUCCUACGGGAUGCAGCAGUCAGGAAUAUUGCGCAAUGGAGGAAACUCUGACGCAGCGACGCCGCGUGGGUGAUGAAGGCCUUC
RNAcentral lists this ribosomal RNA (410 nucleotides) under uncultured bacterium. RNAcentral's name for it is "bacterial SSU rRNA". It matches the Rfam family "Bacterial small subunit ribosomal RNA", at positions 29 to 419 of the family's 1533-position model. The record is from RNAcentral.